This 66-nucleotide transfer RNA is filed under the name Pessoaiella absita. Its description in RNAcentral is "tRNA-Ser". The record is from RNAcentral. Lineage: Eukaryota; Metazoa; Arthropoda; Insecta; Psocodea; Philopteridae.
UACUCAUUAGUCAUAAUUGAUAAUCACUUUGAAAGUGGGAGGUAGUAGUAAUAAUACUAUGAGUUA